RNAcentral lists this ribosomal RNA (406 nucleotides) under uncultured bacterium. RNAcentral describes it as "partial 16S ribosomal RNA". It matches the Rfam family "Bacterial small subunit ribosomal RNA", at positions 355 to 755 of the family's 1533-position model. The record is from RNAcentral.
UGGGGAAUUUUGGACAAUGGGCGAAAGCCUGAUCCAGCAAUGCCGCGUGUGUGAAGAAGGCCUUCGGGUUGUAAAGCACUUUUGUCCGGAAAGAAAUCCUUGGCUCUAAUACAGUCGGGGGAUGACGGUACCGGAAGAAUAAGCACCGGCUAACUACGUGCCAGCAGCCGCGGUAAUACGUAGGGUGCAAGCGUUAAUCGGAAUUACUGGGCGUAAAGCGUGCGCAGGCGUUUGCUAGACCGAUGUGAAAUCCCCGGGCUCAACCUGGGAACUGCAUUGGUGACUGGCAGGCUAGAGUAUGGCAGAGGGGGGUAGAACUCCACGUGUAGCAGUGAAAUGCGUAGAGAUGUGGAGGAAUACCGAUGGCGAAGGCAGCCCCCUGGGCCAAUACUGACGCUCAUGCACG